GACGAACGCUGGCGGCGUGCUUAACACAUGCAAGUCGAGCGGUAAGGCCCUUUCGGGGGUACGACGAGCGGCGAACGGGUGAGUAACACGUGGGUGACCUGCCCUCAGCUCUGGGAUAAGCCUGGGAAACCGGGUCUAAUACUGGAUAUGACUCCAUGACGCAUGUUGUGGGGUGGAAAGCCUUGUGCGGCUGAGGAUGGGCCCGCGGCCUAUCAGCUUGUUGGUGGGGUGAGGCCUACCAAGGCGACGACGGGUAGCCGGCCUGAGAGGCGACCGGCCACACUGGGACUGAGACACGGCCCAGACUCCUACGGGAGGCAGCAGUGGGGAAUCUUGCGCAAUGGGCGAAAGCCUGA
This 356-nucleotide ribosomal RNA is filed under the name uncultured bacterium. RNAcentral describes it as "bacterial SSU rRNA". It matches the Rfam family "Bacterial small subunit ribosomal RNA", at positions 28 to 386 of the family's 1533-position model. The record is from RNAcentral.